Molecule: long non-coding RNA, 1241 nt
Filed under: Sus scrofa (pig)
Lineage: Eukaryota; Metazoa; Chordata; Mammalia; Artiodactyla; Suidae
Description: lncRNA (ENSSSCG00025076632.1)
Source: RNAcentral
AGCUCUGAUUCAACCCCUAGCCUGAGAACCUCCAUAUGCCAUGGGAGCAGCCCUAGAAAAAAACAAACAAAAAAACCCAUCCUAAUCAACUUGAGAGUUUUUUACUUCUCUAGGAUGUUACAUUUCCUCCAAAGUCUAGUUCUUUCUUUUACUGCUGUAUUAAGGAAAAUCUCGCAAUUCUAUUAUCACCCUAGCUAUGGUAAAGUAUUCUUUAAAGAAAAAAGCAAGGAUAUGUCCAAUUCAUCCCAGUGCUAAGAAUAUCUUUAAAAAAUACCAAAGUGCAAAGCCUCCUAUUCAUUAGACAAUAAAAAAUAAUUAUGUCCCCAGAUAAGGACUCAAAACACAAGCCCAGAAUAAAAUGUACGAAGGUUUAGGUUAAGGCAAGAGCCAGUUUCUAGACCAAUCAAAAUAGCUAUUUGGCUAUCUGGAAAUUUCUAUAUUACGGCUGAAAAACUUGACUGUAUUAAUGACACUAUUCUAAGCCUACAACAAUGCAAUCUUGGACUACAUUACCUACUAAAGCCAAGGCAAUUGCCCAAACUCAAAUACAUUUCAUGUGUAUUCACUGGCACUCAAAAUCACCUUAGGACCUGGAUUAUAUACCAUCUUCCUCAAAGAUGCUUUACUAUAAGGAUUCUGAAAAUCACCUAGAAAUAAGUUCUAAUUCAAAACACACCAUAAUCUGUGUGUGCACGCAUGUAUCUCCCCCCUUUUGCCUAUCCUCGAGGCAUGCAGAAGUUCCCAGAUACACCCAAAAAAAUUUAAUAUACAAAUUACUUGUAACACUAAGUAAUUCGAUCAAACGAAACUAAAGUUUUACGUAAUACCUGGUAAAUAAGCUGGGCCUGACAUCAUUAUAUUCUGUACUAGCUUUUUGUAGUAAGACAGCUCAUAACCGUCUCAAUCAUUCUACAUAUCCACAUAAAAACUUACUGCUAUUCUAUUACUAUCUGGCAAAAUGUUCUAUUUUCAUAGAUUCAACUGGAUGACUUCUAAAGUUAUCUUCAUAGAACUCUAAAAAAGUCCUCAAUUUUACCAGAACUGCUUAAACUAAAAUCUUGACAGUUCAAAGGUUACCACUGAAUAGACCCCUAGAAAGCUAUAUACUCCUGUAACAGAGAGCAUUAUUUGGAGGGGAAAAUACGCCAUGACUUUACAAGAAAUAACAAACUCCUGGAUUCUUCNCAUUUUUAUAAAUUAGAGGAGGAACAACUUCAGAUGAAUAACCACCACAACAUAGA